Molecule: ribosomal RNA, 534 nt
Filed under: uncultured bacterium
Lineage: Bacteria
Description: bacterial SSU rRNA
Rfam family: Bacterial small subunit ribosomal RNA
Source: RNAcentral
AGCGAACGCUGGCGGCGUGCCUAACACAUGCAAGUCGCACGAGAAAGGGGUGGCAACACCCCGAGUACAGUGGCGAACGGGUGAGUAACACGUGGGUAACCUACCCCCGGGUCCGGAAUAACCUGCCGAAAGGCGGGCUAAUACCGAAUAACGAUAUGGGGUCUUCGGACUCCGGAUCCAAAGCUGACCUCUUCACGAAAGUUGGCGCCUGGGGAGGGGCCCGCGGCCCAUUAGCUAGUUGGUGAGGUGACGGCUCACCAAGGCAACGAUGGGUAGCCGGCCUGAGAGGGCGACCGGCCACAGUGGAACUGAGACACGGUCCACACUCCUACGGGAGGCAGCAGUGAGGAAUCUUGCGCAAUGGGCGAAAGCCUGACGCAGCGACGCCGCGUGGACGAUGAAGGCCUUCGGGUCGUAAAGUCCUGUCGGGUGGGAAGAACGGGAACGGAGCUAACAUCUCCGGGCCUUGACUGUACCACCAGAGGAAGCCCCGGCUAACUCCGUGCCAGCAGCCGCGGUAAUACGGAGGGGCCG